AUUAACAACCUUGUUGAAUAAACGAACUUGCUGCAAGGUUGUUCCGACAUGUCCGAUACAGUCAUGAUGUAACAAUAUUGUUACAACCUUGUAUGGUUAACCUCGUAACAUUCUUGUUAUAUCAUGACCGUAUCAGACUUGUUAGAACAACCUUGUAACAAGUCUGAUAAUUCCAUCAAGCUUGUUGUU
This 189-nucleotide microRNA precursor is filed under the name Paramuricea clavata. Lineage: Eukaryota; Metazoa; Cnidaria; Anthozoa; Malacalcyonacea; Plexauridae. The record is from RNAcentral.